UAAGCGACUAAGCGUACACGGUGGAUGCCCUGGCAGUCAGAGGCGAUGAAGGACGUGCUAAUCUGCGAUAAGCGUCGGUAAGGUGAUAUGAACCGUUAUAACCGGCGAUUUCCGAAUGGGGAAACCCAGUGUGUUUCGACACACUAUCAUUAACUGAAUCCAUAGGUUAAUGAGGCGAACCGGGGAACUGAAACAUCUAAGUACCCCGAGGAAAAGAAAUCAACCGAGAUUCCCCCAGUAGCGGCGAGCGAACGGGGAGCAGCCCAGAGCCUGAAUCAGUGUGUGUGUUAGUGGAAGCGUCUGGAAAGGCGCGCGAUACAGGGUGACAGCCCCGUACACAAAAAUGCACAUGCUGUGAGCUCGAUGAGUAGGGCGGGACACGUGGUAUCCUGUCUGAAUAGUGGGGGGACCAUCCUCCAAGGCUAAAUACUCCUGACUGACCGAUAGUGAACCAGUACCGUGAGGGAAAGGCGAAAAGAACCCCGGCGAGGGGAGUGAAAAAGAACCUGAAACCGUGUACGUACAAGCAGUGGGAGCCUCUUUUAUGGGGUGACUGCGUACCUUUUGUAUAAUGGGUCAGCGACUUAUAUUCUGUAGCAAGGUUAACCGAAUAGGGGAGCCGAAGGGAAACCGAGUCUUAACCGGGCGUUAAGUUGCAGGGUAUAGACCCGAAACCCGGUGAUCUAGCCAUGGGCAGGUUGAAGGUUGGGUAACACUAACUGGAGGACCGAACCGACUAAUGUUGAAAAAUUAGCGGAUGACUUGUGGCUGGGGGUGAAAGGCCAAUCAAACCGGGAGAUAGCUGGUUCUCCCCGAAAGCUAUUUAGGUAGCGCCUCGUGAAUUCAUCUCCGGGGGUAGAGCACUGUUUCGGCAAGGGGGUCAUCCCGACUUACCAACCCGAUGCAAACUGCGAAUACCGGAGAAUGUUAUCACGGGAGACACACGGCGGGUGCUAACGUCCGUCGUGAAGAGGGAAACAACCCAGACCGCCAGCUAAGGUCCCAAAGUCAUGGUUAAGUGGGAAACGAUGUGGGAAGGCCCAGACAGCCAGGAUGUUGGCUUAGAAGCAGCCAUCAUUUAAAGAAAGCGUAAUAGCUCACUGGUCGAGUCGGCCUGCGCGGAAGAUGUAACGGGGCUAAACCAUGCACCGAAGCUGCGGCAGCGACACUGUGUGUUGUUGGGUAGGGGAGCGUUCUGUAAGCCUGUGAAGGUGUACUGUGAGGUAUGCUGGAGGUAUCAGAAGUGCGAAUGCUGACAUAAGUAACGAUAAAGCGGGUGAAAAGCCCGCUCGCCGGAAGACCAAGGGUUCCUGUCCAACGUUAAUCGGGGCAGGGUGAGUCGACCCCUAAGGCGAGGCCGAAAGGCGUAGUCGAUGGGAAACAGGUUAAUAUUCCUGUACUUGGUGUUACUGCGAAGGGGGGACGGAGAAGGCUAUGUUGGCCGGGCGACGGUUGUCCCGGUUUAAGCGUGUAGGCUGGUUUUCCAGGCAAAUCCGGAAAAUCAAGGCUGAGGCGUGAUGACGAGGCACUACGGUGCUGAAGCAACAAAUGCCCUGCUUCCAGGAAAAGCCUCUAAGCAUCAGGUAACAUCAAAUCGUACCCCAAACCGACACAGGUGGUCAGGUAGAGAAUACCAAGGCGCUUGAGAGAACUCGGGUGAAGGAACUAGGCAAAAUGGUGCCGUAACUUCGGGAGAAGGCACGCUGAUAUGUAGGUGAAGUCCCUCGCGGAUGGAGCUGAAAUCAGUCGAAGAUACCAGCUGGCUGCAACUGUUUAUUAAAAACACAGCACUGUGCAAACACGAAAGUGGACGUAUACGGUGUGACGCCUGCCCGGUGCCGGAAGGUUAAUUGAUGGGGUCAGCGCAAGCGAAGCUCUUGAUCGAAGCCCCGGUAAACGGCGGCCGUAACUAUAACGGUCCUAAGGUAGCGAAAUUCCUUGUCGGGUAAGUUCCGACCUGCACGAAUGGCGUAAUGAUGGCCAGGCUGUCUCCACCCGAGACUCAGUGAAAUUGAACUCGCUGUGAAGAUGCAGUGUACCCGCGGCAAGACGGAAAGACCCCGUGAACCUUUACUAUAGCUUGACACUGAACAUUGAGCCUUGAUGUGUAGGAUAGGUGGGAGGCUUUGAAGUGUGGACGCCAGUCUGCAUGGAGCCGACCUUGAAAUACCACCCUUUAAUGUUUGAUGUUCUAACGUGGACCCGUGAUCCGGGUUGCGGACAGUGUCUGGUGGGUAGUUUGACUGGGGCGGUCUCCUCCUAAAGAGUAACGGAGGAGCACGAAGGUUGGCUAAUCCUGGUCGGACAUCAGGAGGUUAGUGCAAUGGCAUAAGCCAGCUUGACUGCGAGCGUGACGGCGCGAGCAGGUGCGAAAGCAGGUCAUAGUGAUCCGGUGGUUCUGAAUGGAAGGGCCAUCGCUCAACGGAUAAAAGGUACUCCGGGGAUAACAGGCUGAUACCGCCCAAGAGUUCAUAUCGACGGCGGUGUUUGGCACCUCGAUGUCGGCUCAUCACAUCCUGGGGCUGAAGUAGGUCCCAAGGGUAUGGCUGUUCGCCAUUUAAAGUGGUACGCGAGCUGGGUUUAGAACGUCGUGAGACAGUUCGGUCCCUAUCUGCCGUGGGCGCUGGAGAACUGAGGGGGGCUGCUCCUAGUACGAGAGGACCGGAGUGGACGCAUCACUGGUGUUCGGGUUGUCAUGCCAAUGGCACUGCCCGGUAGCUAAAUGCGGAAGAGAUAAGUGCUGAAAGCAUCUAAGCACGAAACUUGCCCCGAGAUGAGUUCUCCCUGACCCUUUAAGGGUCCUGAAGGAACGUUGAAGACGACGACGUUGAUAGGCCGGGUGUGUAAGCGCAGCGAUGCGUUGAGCUAACCGGUACUAAUGAACCGUGAGGCUUAACCU
Molecule: ribosomal RNA, 2899 nt
Filed under: Escherichia coli TW11039
Lineage: Bacteria; Pseudomonadati; Pseudomonadota; Gammaproteobacteria; Enterobacterales; Enterobacteriaceae
Description: bacterial LSU rRNA
Rfam family: Bacterial large subunit ribosomal RNA
Source: RNAcentral